Monodelphis domestica (gray short-tailed opossum) is the source of this 674-nucleotide non-coding RNA. The record is from the annotation of a RefSeq genome assembly. Lineage: Eukaryota; Metazoa; Chordata; Mammalia; Didelphimorphia; Didelphidae.
CUGGGAGGGAGCUGCUGAGGAGCCAGAGCUCAGGCACAGGGAGAUGAUGGGGUCUCAGGCUCAGCUGUUCUGCCUCCUGCUUCUCUGCAUCCCAGGUUCCAGAGGGGCCAUUGGGGUGACCCAGUCUCCAGCCUCCCUGGCUGUGUCUCCAGGAGAGACGGUCACUCUGUACUGCAGGGCCAGUCAGAGUGUUAGUAAUUACAUGAGCUGGUACCAACAGCGCCCAGGCCAGGUUCCCAGGCCCCUCAUUUACUAUGCUUCCAGCCUGCAGCCUGGGGUCCCUGCCCGGUUCAGUGGCAGUGGCUCUGGGACAGAUUUCUCUCUUACCAUCAGUGCUGUGGAACCAGAGGACUUCGCAGACUAUUACUGUCUACAGUGGGGUAGCUCACCUCUCACAGUGAUUCAGCUCUGAACAAAAACCUGCCCAGGCAGCUGCUGAGGGAGCCCCCACUGUCCCAGGGGAUCCUCCUUCCCCUACAGCUGGGGCAGCUUGUCUGGGCUGCCUGUGAGGGCAGUUUGUAGGUCUCAUAGGAGGCUGCUGGGACUGGGAUGGGUGCUGAGCCUGGUCUCUUCCUGUGAGAGAGACAAAUCCAGAGACUUUUGAACAUGGAAAAGCCUGGAGAAAAUAUAAAGAUUCCAUGAGCAGCAGGAAGCAUCUGGAAUCUUGGGAAAGC